This 134-nucleotide small RNA is filed under the name Salmonella enterica subsp. enterica. RNAcentral describes it as "RtT sRNA". It matches the Rfam family "RtT RNA". Rfam says of the family: This family represents a bacterial cis-regulatory element known as RtT RNA. Lineage: Bacteria; Pseudomonadati; Pseudomonadota; Gammaproteobacteria; Enterobacterales; Enterobacteriaceae. RNAcentral also lists the same sequence under 2 other names. The record is from RNAcentral.
UGCAUCUGAAGCCUGACGAGGAUGAGAACCUCCGGGGGCAAGAGGUUCGACCCGAGCGAAGCGAGAGAACGUUGCGCCAGCAACGGCCCGCAGGGCGAGCCACGCAGUGGCGAGUCAUCCUCUAUCACCGGCAG